This 545-nucleotide ribosomal RNA is filed under the name Scorpaenodes guamensis (Guam scorpionfish). RNAcentral's name for it is "partial 16S ribosomal RNA". The stretch from base 190 to 545 matches the Rfam family "Bacterial large subunit ribosomal RNA", at positions 566 to 1050 of the family's 2925-position model. Lineage: Eukaryota; Metazoa; Chordata; Actinopteri; Perciformes; Scorpaenidae. The record is from RNAcentral.
GAUACCCAACAGCUAGCCCACCAAAACAGCAACAACCAACAACUAUGUAUAACCCUUAAUAUACUAAACGCCAACAAUCAAACCAUUUCUCCCCUCAAGUACGGGCGACAGAAAAAGGACUAAGGAGCGAUAGAAAAAGUACCGUAAGGGACUGCUGAAAGAGAAGUGAAAUAACCCAGUAAAGAUAAGAAAAGCAGAGAUAUAACCUCGUACCUUUUGCAUCAUGAUUUAGCCAGCGUGCCUCAAGCAAAAAGCACUUUAGUCUGACACCCCGAAACUAGGGGAGCUACUCCAAGACAGCCUAUUUAUAGGGCAAACCCGUCUCUGUGGCAAAAGAGUGGGACGAGCUUCGAGUAGAGGUGACAAACCUACCGAACCUAGUUAUAGCUGGUUGCCCAGGAAUUGGAUAGAAGUUCAGCCCCACAGAUUCUUCGUUCCCCCAGGUAUUACCCCCUCUGAUAAAAUAAGAAACUGCGAGAGUUAUUCAAAGGGGGUACAGCCCCUUUGAAACAGAACACAACCUUACUGGAAGGAUAAAGAUCAUA